UGGUGGCUUUAGAUAUAUGGACUCCUUCGU
Molecule: non-coding RNA, 30 nt
Filed under: Mus musculus (house mouse)
Lineage: Eukaryota; Metazoa; Chordata; Mammalia; Rodentia; Muridae
Source: RNAcentral